UCGAUCGUCACGGUUUGGGAGCUUGAGUAGCCCAUAUAUAUACGUUGGGGGCGAAACAAAGAGUGCCACCCUUUUUUUUAUAAAGAAUUUUUAAAAAAUCACAAACUGCCUUUUCAAAGGCAAUAAAGAAAUUGAAAAAAAUCACGUCGCGCACCAAUCCUUUUCCCAAUCAUCGAUGGUGAUCGUGCUGGAUCACGUUUAUUCUUCCUCAUAUACCACAGCCCAUAGCUGUCCACGAACCGAAUUAAAAACCAAACUGUCUUUCUCAAGACAACUCAGCGAAAUGAAUAAUAAUAACGAAAGAAAGGAGGAGGAAGAACAUCAAAAGGCGUUGGAAAGAGGCAUGCGCAGUACACGCAAAAGCGUGCCAAACUAGUAAAAGCCGGCCAUGACGGAAGGACGAAAGUUCAGCGAAACGCCGCUGCUACUCAACAACACGGACGCGGCGAAGAAGAACAAGAAGAAGAGGCUCAACCAGCAGUAGUUGAAUGCUAGUUAUUUUA
This is a long non-coding RNA of Contarinia nasturtii (swede midge), 503 nucleotides long. RefSeq lists it as uncharacterized. Lineage: Eukaryota; Metazoa; Arthropoda; Insecta; Diptera; Cecidomyiidae. The transcript is spliced from 3 exons. The record is from RefSeq and is a predicted model, not a curated record.